UUUUUUUUUUUUUUUCUGCUUCCUAAGGAUUGGAUUUUUGGCAUGAAAAUGAGUGUCAUAUAUGGAGUGUGGCUUACAGUCUUAUGUCAAAAAUGGCUCAAGUAGGAAUAGAAGACACAUAGACCAAGUUUGAUUAUAAAGCAAACAUCAUUCCCACUUGGCCUUACGAUCUAUCUGUUUCUAGGCUGUCAUACAGAAGGGAAAGGACUAACAAGUAGAUCUUGUGUUUGCAGGAAGUCAUGCCUGAGAUGAGCGUUGUACGCAAGUGAUUUACCAAGAGCUCUCAGGAGACAUCCAGAAGGGUGCAUAGUCAGAAGAAUAAAGAAGAAGCCAAAAGUCCUCUGUGCAUUUUUUUGAUUAAGAGAAGCUUGGAGGGACUGGGAAGCUCACAGCCGGUGGUUGGGACAGAGCCAGGACUUGAACUCAGUUGGGUGCAUCCUGGUGCCCAGCUGUGGGCUGCGGUGCCUCAUGCACAUGAAGAGGGAGGGACCGUGCUGCUCUCGAAGUUUAUAGCUGAAGAACCAGCUCUUGGAGGUCACAUGACUUGCUUGAACGCAGGGCCUGGGAAGUUCCUGGAAGAACUCAGGUUCUGUUUUUGUGCCUCCUUUUGUCAGUACAGGAACAGUCAGAUGGCCCUGUGAGCUGCACCACAGUGGGCAAAGCCAGGAAGUGCUCCUUCAGGAUCUGAAUAAUUUUCUGCAGCUUCUACAUCAACACUUGCAGGUCAAUCAGCUGCUUGUCCCUCUAAGUAAAACUUGUGAUGUAAACCGAAGAUUCUACAGGUGUAAACUGAAGACUGUACAGGUGUGUACAGCUACUGCAUGGUUCUUCCACGUCUUUCUCGUAUGGCAUUAACUGUCACAACCCAGGACUACCUUCUGCAGCAUGAAGUGGUCAUCACAUUACAAAAACUUCCACUUUAGUAAGAGGUAAACUAUUAUAUGACAGACCAAAUAAGAGAUAGAUCUUAUGAUCCAUCAUAUUCCAUUUGGACUUGGAGCCCUCUGCACUUCAUUUGAAGGUAGUCCUGGUUUUCUAUGCACAUUGAACUGUCAGAACAUUUGAAGAUGAUGAUAAAUUCCAUUUUGAAGGGGACAUGAGAGUGAACAUUUUAUUGAAAGUGUUGGAUUUUCAAGCCAAGAUGUCAGGAAAGAGUUGUCAGCUGAGGUUAUACUUGGGAAGAUUUUACGAAUUAGAGAUGAAAUAUAUUUUCACUGAAGCCUUUGACCUGCAGAUGCAGACAAGAUGAUGAUGAAGAGGGUCUCUUCACUGGCAUCAGUGAGAAUAAACAAAACACAUAGUAUGCAUACUGUGGAGCAGACAGUAUUUCUAAACACACUUGCAAACACUCUUGAAUAUUUGGA
This is a non-coding RNA of Microcebus murinus (gray mouse lemur), 1364 nucleotides long. Lineage: Eukaryota; Metazoa; Chordata; Mammalia; Primates; Cheirogaleidae. The record is from RefSeq and is a predicted model, not a curated record.